RNAcentral lists this ribosomal RNA (329 nucleotides) under uncultured eukaryote. Its description in RNAcentral is "partial 18S ribosomal RNA". It matches the Rfam family "Eukaryotic small subunit ribosomal RNA", at positions 1470 to 1796 of the family's 1831-position model. The record is from RNAcentral.
CCCUUAGAUGUUCUGGGCCGCACGCGCGCUACAAUGAUGAAUUCAACGAGUUUAUAACCUUGGUUGAAAAGCCUGGGUAAUCUUUUGAACUUUCGUCGUGAUGGGGCUAGACCCUUGCAAUUAUUGGUCUCCAACGAGGAAUUCCUAGUAAACGCAAGUCAUCAGCUUGCAUUGAUUACGUCCCUGCCCUUUGUACACACCGCCCGUCGCACCUACCGAUUGAAUGGUCCGGUGAAAUCUUCGGAUUGAGACUUUGAUUUCUUCACGGAAAACGCUGUUUUAAAAAGUUGAUUAAACCUUACCAUUUAGAGGAAGGUGAAGCCGUAACA